RNA transcript from Scylla paramamosain (green mud crab), 2822 nucleotides. RefSeq lists it as uncharacterized. Lineage: Eukaryota; Metazoa; Arthropoda; Malacostraca; Decapoda; Portunidae. The record is from RefSeq and is a predicted model, not a curated record. The transcript is spliced from 3 exons.
AGGAGGAGGAGGAGGAGGAAGAGGAGGAGGAGGAGGAUUUAGAUAGAUAAUUGAUGUUUGUUCUGGAGGAGGAGAAGGAUGAGAACGAGAAGAUGCUCAGGAUAAGGAUAAGGAUUUGUGUAAAUAUAUGUUGGAGGAAGAGGAGGAGGAGAAUAGAGACGAGGAAAGAGUAGAGAAUAAACAGAAGAAAAAGGAGAAUGGGGGAGGAAGAGAAAAAAUAGCUAGAACUAAGAUGAUAUAUGUUACUUGAUGGAAAAGAAGGAGGAGGAGGAAGAGAAGUAGAAGAUAAAGACGAUUGAAGAUGAGGAGGAGAAGGAGGAGGAGGAGGAGGAGGAAUAAGAACAAGAAGAACAAGAAGAGCAUUUAAGAUCACAAGAACAACAACAACAACAAACAAACAAACAAACAAAAUUAACUAGACAGUGAAUGAAGACGAAGAUGAAGAGGAAGAGGAGACGGAGAAUGAUUCGAGUAGAGAGAGAGAGAGAGAGAGAGAGAGAGAGAGAGAGAGAGAGAGAGAGAGAGAGAGAGAGAGAGAGAGAGAGAGAGAGAGAGAGAGAGAGAGAGAGAGAGCUAAUGUAAUUUCCAGAGACCAAUAAGGAAGACUGAAAGACCCAACCUGACUAUUUUCAAUUACCCAGCAGACUUGACUUCGUGGAGUGAACUUUGAGUUGGCGCCGCGGCCUUUGAGAGAGGCAGAGGCGCAGUCCCUCGGCUCCUGACGGCGGGCACGGGGACGCAGGGACAGGAAAGGGAAAUGGAUUGGAAGGCAGAUGGGAAAGACAGACAGCCAUAAAGAGGAUGAGGAGAUAGAUAGGUAGACGAAUGGAACAAAAGGUUGACAGGUAGACGGACUGGGAGAUGGAUGGGAUGGUGAAUGGGUAGAAAGGCUGACGAAUGGAAUGAGUGAUAGAUAGAUGGAUAAGAUAGACAGAUUGAAAGAAAGAAAAGAAUGAAGGUUGGACAAGAAGUAGACAAGGUAGAAAGAGCGAUAAAUAAGUAAAUGAAGGGGAUAGCAGAAAAAUAUAAAGGCAGAAAGAAUAAUAAGAAUAAUAGCAAAAGAGGAUAGAUAAAAAAAAGUUAAUAUAUCGAAAGGAAUGGCAAAAAAGAAAGCCAGAUUUUAAAUAAAAGAAAAACAAUUACGAAGAAAGGUAGAAAAGUAGAUGAGUACGAAGCCAGACAAGUAAAAAACGGAUGGGAAGCUAGAGACAAGAAUAAUUACAAGUGGACAAAAAGCGGAGCAAACACCAAAGAUUUAUACGUUAUUGAGGAGAGGUGGAAAAAGUGAGCCAAAAAAAAAAAUCUAAUUGGAAAGGUGAGAACAAUUGCUGUGUGUGUGUGUGUGUGUGUGAGAGAGAGAGAGAGAGAGAGAGAGAGAGAGAGAGAGAGAGAGAGAGAGAGAGAGAGAGAGAGAGAGAGAGAUGGUUAGACAAACAAACAGACAAAACAAGCCACCGUCAGCACCAGUAUUCUUCGUAGAUUAAGACACACAAGUUCACCAAAGCAGCGCCACCACUCACCCUGAUGAGAGAGAGAGAGAGAGAGAGAGAGAGAGAGAGAGAGAGAGAGAGAGAGAGAGAGAGAGAGAGAGAGAGAGAGAUUCCACCUCCGCUCCUUCCUCCCGAAUUCAAGUCUCUGCCUGGCCUUUGGAAGCUAACUUUCUUAGAGUCAAAUUUCCAACCUUGAGUCAGGACCGUGAACAUCAAAACACUAAGAGAGAGAGAGAGAGAGAGAGAGAGAGAGAGAGAGAGAGAGAGAGAGAGAGAGAGAAAACUGAGGCAGAAAGAAAAAGUGAAAAAAAAUGUUGCUUUUAGAAAGCUUUCAUUUAAUUUGUGCUUUCUUAAUUAUUGCAGUAUAUUGCAACACUAUAUUUAACAUAUUUUGCAUGUUGUUUGUACUAAUUAUACUUCAAAAUAUAGCAUGAUAUGAAUGAGCUUAACAUACCGUACUCAUUGUUAUUUUUCCGUAUGAAGGAAAACCUGAGGACAUUUCAUUCAUGAAAUAAGUAUUAUUCAGUAAGCAUUUCCUUAUUGAAGGUAGUAAAAAUGAAACAAUAACAUUAUCUUAAGGUGGGUUAAGAGAAAAUUUAGAAAUACCAUGAAUGCUCAAGUUACCCAUCAACACCCACCUACCUCUGUGUGUGUGUGUGUGUGUGUGUCUGUGUGUCACACUUUGUGUUAAGGGCCAUCCUAUUGUGCGUUGUUUCUCAGGUUGCAGAGUAAUUUAGUGUAUACCACGCUAUACAGAAGUGUAUUUAAAUGAUAGUUUUAGGAAAUAAGGCUGAACUACUCAUUGCCUUAGAGAGAGAGAGGUCAGGUGAGGGUCUGAACGAGGUGUCGGAAGUAUGAAAUACUGUGUUAAACGCCGCUACGGCAAUGCCCUGGCAGUGAGGAUAUGGUUCCCUGAAUGAUACAAGCAGUGGUCUGAGGGGAUCUAUAAUUUGUCCUGUCAUAGAAACUAUUAUGUGGUGACGCUCAGUGAGGUGUUGCUUCUUCCUACAUCAAACAACACCUAGCAGCAUCAGAGAGACACGACUGCAUAAGUGUCCGGCGACUUGUCUCUUCCAAUUAUCCCCGGACACCUUCCCAUCGCUCACCUUCCCCCGCUCACUCACGAAGGACAACGUAACGCCCCCUGGAGUGCCGUCCAGGUCACGUUCAUCCUCGCAGUGGGCUGGUCCGGACGAUUCACCCAAACUUGGCAAGGUGGAUGAGACAGUGUGGAAACGUUCACUAACUCGGCGAAAGGAAACGAAGCGAGGUGGAUGAUGAAGUGGAUGAGGAGACGGAGGCUUGUAGGCAUAAUAAAGUGUUUCAAAUGUU